AACGAGCGCUGGCGGCAUGCCUAACACAUGCAAGUCGAACGAGACCUUCGGGUCUAGUGGCGCACGGGUGCGUAACGCGUGGGAACCUGCCCUUAGGUUCGGAAUAACUCCCCGAAAGGGGUGCUAAUACCGGAUGAUGUCUUCGGACCAAAGAUUUAUCGCCUUUGGAUGGGCCCGCGUUGGAUUAGCUAGUUGGUAGGGUAAAAGCCUACCAAGGCGACGAUCCAUAGCUGGUCUGAGAGGAUGAUCAGCCACACUGGGACUGAGACACGGCCCAGACUCCUACGGGAGGCAGCAGUGGGGAAUAUUGGACAAUGGGCGAAAGCCUGAUCCAGCAAUGCCGCGUGAGUGAUGAAGGCCUUAGGGUUGUAAAGCUCUUUUACCCGGGAUGAUAAUGACAGUACCGGGAGAAUAAGCUCCGGCUAACUCCGUG
This 433-nucleotide ribosomal RNA is filed under the name uncultured bacterium. RNAcentral's name for it is "partial 16S ribosomal RNA". It matches the Rfam family "Bacterial small subunit ribosomal RNA", at positions 29 to 507 of the family's 1533-position model. The record is from RNAcentral.